This 374-nucleotide ribosomal RNA is filed under the name uncultured bacterium. Its description in RNAcentral is "bacterial SSU rRNA". It matches the Rfam family "Bacterial small subunit ribosomal RNA", at positions 524 to 898 of the family's 1533-position model. The record is from RNAcentral.
UACGGAGGGGGCAAGCGUUGUUCGGAUUUACUGGGUGUAAAGGGUGUGUAGGCGGCAUGGUAAGUGGGAUGUGAAAUCUCCGGGCUCAACUCGGAAACUGCAUUCCAUACUGCUAAGCUAGAGUACCGCAGAGGUAAAUGGAAUUCUCGGUGUAAGGGUGAAAUCUGCAGAUAUCGAGAAGAACACCAGUGGCGAAGGCGAUUUACUGGGCGGAUACUGACGCUGAUACACGAAAGCUAGGGGAGCGAACGGGAUUAGAUACCCCGGUAGUCCUAGCCGUAAACGAUGGACACUAGGUGUCGGGAGUUACUGCUCUCGGUGCCGCAGCUAACGCAUUAAGUGUCCCACCUGGGGAGUACGGUCGCAAGGCUGAA